This 795-nucleotide ribosomal RNA is filed under the name uncultured Acremonium. Its description in RNAcentral is "SSU rRNA". It matches the Rfam family "Eukaryotic small subunit ribosomal RNA", at positions 611 to 1437 of the family's 1831-position model. Lineage: Eukaryota; Fungi; Ascomycota. The record is from RNAcentral.
UGUAGUGGUUAAAAGCUCGUAGUUGAACCUAGGGCCUGGCUGGCCGGUCCGCCUCACCGCGUGCACUGGUCCGGCCGGGCCUUUCCCUCUGUGGAACCCCAUACCCUUCACUGGGCGUGGCGGGGAAACAGGACAUUUACUUUGAAAAAAUUAGAGUGCUCCAGGCAGGCCUAUGCUCGAAUACAUUAGCAUGGAAUAAUAAAAUAGGACGCGCGGUUCUAUUUUGUUGGUUUAUAGGACCGCCGUAAUGAUUAAUAGGGACAGUCGGGGGCAUCAGUAUUCAACUGUCAGAGGUGAAAUUCUUGGAUCAGUUGAAGACUAACUACUGCGAAAGCAUUUGCCAAGGAUGUUUUCAUUAAUCAGGAACGAAAGUUAGGGGAUCGAAGACGAUCAGAUACCGUCGUAGUCUUAACCAUAAACUAUGCCGACUAGGGAUCGGACGGUGUUAUUCAUGACCCGUUCGGCACCUUACGAGAAAUCAAAGUGCUUGGGCUCCAGGGGGAGUAUGGUCGCAAGGCUGAAACUUAAAGAAAUUGACGGAAGGGCACCACCAGGGGUGGAGCCUGCGGCUUAAUUUGACUCAACACGGGGAAACUCACCAGGUCCAGACACAAUAAGGAUUGACAGAUUGAGAGCUCUUUCUUGAUUUUGUGGGUGGUGGUGCAUGGCCGUUCUUAGUUGGUGGGGUGACUUGUCUGCUUAAUUGCGAUAACGAACGAGACCUUAACCUGCUAAAUAGCCCGCAUUGCUCCGGCAGUGCGCUGGCUUCUUAGAGGGACUUUCGGCUCAAGCCGA